Molecule: long non-coding RNA, 1033 nt
Filed under: Marmota monax (woodchuck)
Lineage: Eukaryota; Metazoa; Chordata; Mammalia; Rodentia; Sciuridae
Source: RNAcentral
CUGAUACUUAUUUUAUUGUUCUUUUUCUUUUUUUAUUGUUCUUUUUCUAUAAUAAUGGCAUCUUUCAAAAGGAUUAUGUUCAAGUCAUAAUUGGAAUUAUUCUAAGUUAUUUCCUUGAUUAAUGUGUGUGGGAAAAUAUAACUCAGAAGUAUUCAAAGGCUAUAUUUCUGUCCUUAUCACCAUAGAGAUCCAUUUAGCCAUCCCAUGUUUACUUGUUUCAGGCAACACAUUAGAACAAAGAAAUAUUUUAUGAAGUGCUUCAUGCUGGAAUUACUCUUUUUCUGAAAGAAGAAAGCAUGAAUUCAUCCAUUAUGGUUGAAUAAUUUUAAGUGAAGUCAUUUAAAUGUCAUUUUCAGUCACAAAUGAAGAGUUUGGUCAAGGGAUUUUUUUAACUGAUUACCUUUCUGGAAUGUUGCAUUGGUUAGCUCUGGAGGUGGUAGCUCAGUGGUAGAACAGUGAUCCAGGCUGCAUGCUGCAUGGUCCCUGGGUUCCAUCCCUAGCACAGCCAAACAGUAAAAAAAAAAAAAAAAAAAAAAAAUUUGUUAAACUUAGAAAAGGAUUUUGAUAAAAAUGUAAAAUAUCUUCCAAGAGAAUCCCAUGUCCUAUGUUCUUGUUUAACAUAAACAAACAUUAACUGAGCACCAGGAGAAGGGAGGAGAGAACCUAUUUAUUGAAUAUCAUCUAUGUGCCAAUUACUUUCCAUGAUCUAUUUUAAUUCUCAAAACAGUCUUCUAAGGCAUUUGGUGACUUUGGUAGGUCACCAGUCCUCGGUUCUUUAUCAGUAAAAUGGAAUGACAAUGUUUGCAAAGAUCAAACAUCAUGUGGGCAAAGCACACAUCUAUCAGAGUUGGAAAGAUGGAAAAUACAGUUGAUGACAUGAAAUGUUGAAGAAAACCUUAGUUGCAAUGCUGCCACUUGUGAUCAUCUCACUGACUUGGAAUUCCACGGAGCACUUUGGUGGAGCAGUGGUGUGUCAGGUAGAGAGUCAUGACAAACUUCCCAGUGGUUAGAACAAGGCAAAACUUCACUAUCG